Molecule: small RNA, 303 nt
Filed under: Nitrososphaera viennensis EN76
Lineage: Archaea; Thermoproteati; Nitrososphaerota; Nitrososphaeria; Nitrososphaerales; Nitrososphaeraceae
Description: 5' ureB small RNA
Rfam family: 5' ureB small RNA
Source: Rfam by way of RNAcentral
CGUCUAUGUACUGCUGCGGGGCGAUCAUGUGUAUGUGCGUGUCAAAGUGGCCGGGCGUGCAUAUCGUAUGCUCGCCGGCGGUCGCUUCCGUGCAGGCCGACACCACCAUGUUCGGGUUAACCCCGUCCAUUGUGAGCGGGUUGCCGGCCUUUCCAACCCCUGCUAUCUUGCCGUCCUUGAUGCCAAUAUCAGCCUUGACUAUCCCAAGCACGGGAUCCAGGAUGACCGCGUUUGUUAUGACAAAGUCCAAGGCGCCAUUCUUGUUCGUGACACCGGGCGUCUGGGCAAGGCCGUCUCUGAGCG